CGUAUGAACGCUCGCAAGUGCAUGAGGGUUCGUGUUGUUCGCUGGAAGGAUCGGUUUCUCUUUACGCCUGUACUGGCUCAGCUUCAGUGUUAUCAAGCAGAAAAACAUCUUUUUCUGCCACAUCUUAGAUGAGCUCCCACCGAGCUUGUCGGGAAGGAGACCUGCUGAAUUUGCCGCUGGAAGUUGAAAUUGUUAAGGGCCUGCAGUUUGCACACGUUCAAGUGUCGCUACUUUCACUGGAGG
Molecule: long non-coding RNA, 243 nt
Organism: Arabidopsis thaliana (thale cress)
Lineage: Eukaryota; Viridiplantae; Streptophyta; Magnoliopsida; Brassicales; Brassicaceae
Product: other RNA
Exons: 1
Source: RefSeq